AGGAGGAACAGCCCCAGUGGCGGGGCAGCUCUGGAAACCUGGAUUCAGCCCCCGCAGGAACUCCGGAGCUCUCCGUCUGCAGGGCCUGGAGGCUCCGGGGCAGG
This 104-nucleotide microRNA precursor is filed under the name Canis lupus familiaris (dog). RNAcentral's name for it is "mir-8834 microRNA precursor family". It matches the Rfam family "mir-8834 microRNA precursor family". The record is from Rfam by way of RNAcentral. Lineage: Eukaryota; Metazoa; Chordata; Mammalia; Carnivora; Canidae. RNAcentral also lists the same sequence under 1 other name.